GACGAACGCUGGCGGCGCGCCUAACACAUGCAAGUCGAACGAGCGAGAGAGAGCUUGCUUUCUCGAGCGAGUGGCGAACGGGUGAGUAACGCGUGAGGAACCUGCCUCAAAGAGGGGGACAACAGUUGGAAACGACUGCUAAUACCGCAUAAGCCCACGGCUCGGCAUCGAGCAGGGGGAAAAGGAGCAAUCCGCUUUGAGAUGGCCUCGCGUCCGAUUAGCUAGUUGGUGAGGUAACGGCCCACCAAGGCGACGAUCGGUAGCCGGACUGAGAGGUUGAACGGCCACAUUGGGACUGAGACACGGCCCAGACUCCUACGGGAGGCAGCAGUGGGGAAUAUUGCACAAUGGGAAACCCUGAUGCAGCGACGCCGCGUGGAGGAAGAAGGUCUUCGGAUUGUAAACUCCUGUUGUUGGGGAAGAUAAUGACGGUACCCAACAAGGAAGUGACGGCUAACUACGU
Molecule: ribosomal RNA, 463 nt
Filed under: uncultured bacterium
Lineage: Bacteria
Description: partial 16S ribosomal RNA
Rfam family: Bacterial small subunit ribosomal RNA
Source: RNAcentral